CCUACGGGAGGCAGCAGUGGGGAAUAUUGCACAAUGGAGGAAACUCUGAUGCAGCGACGCCGCGUGAGGGAAGAAGGAUUUCGGUAUGUAAACUUCUAUCAGCAGGGAAGAAAAUGACGGUACCUGUCUAGUCCGCCCCGUCUCACUACGUUCCAGCAGCCGCGGUACUACGUAGGUGGCAAGCGUUGUCCGGAUUUGCUGGGGGUAAAGGGAGCGUAGGCGGUGAAGCAAGUCAGCAGUUAAAGCCCGGGGCUCAACUCCGAGACUGCUUUUGAAACUGUUGAACUAGAUUGCAGGAGAGGUAAGUGGAAUUCCUAGUGUAGCGGUGAAAUGCGUAGAUAUUAGGAGGAACACCAGUGGCGAAGGCGGCUUACUGGACUGUAAAUGACGCUGAGGCUCGAAAGCGUGGGGAGCAAACAGGAUUAGAUACCCCUGUAGUC
This 440-nucleotide ribosomal RNA is filed under the name uncultured bacterium. RNAcentral's name for it is "partial 16S ribosomal RNA". It matches the Rfam family "Bacterial small subunit ribosomal RNA", at positions 338 to 795 of the family's 1533-position model. The record is from RNAcentral.